AGGACGAACGCUGGCGGCGCGCUUAACACAUGCAAGUCGAACGUGAAGCUGGAGCUUGCUCCGGUGGAAAGUGGCGAACGGGUGCGUAACACGUGAGCAACCUGCCCCGAAGACUGGGAUAACACCGGGAAACCGGUGCUAAUACCGGAUACCUUCUUCCGAUCGCAUGGUUGGACGAAGAAAUGGAUUCCGCUUCGGGAUGGGCUCGCGGCCUAUCAGCUUGUUGGUGAGGUAACGGCCCACCAAGGCGACGACGGGUAGCUGGUCUGAGAGGACGACCAGCCACACUGGGACUGAGACACGGCCCAGACUCCUACGGGAGGCAGCAGUGGGGAAUCUUGCUCAAUGGGCGAAAGCCUGAAGCAGCGACGCCGCGUGCGGGAUGAAGGCCUUCGGGUUGUAAACCGCUUUCAGCAGGGACGAAAUUGACGGUACCUGCAGAAGAAGGCUCGGCCAACUACGUGCCAGCAGCCGCGGUAA
RNAcentral lists this ribosomal RNA (480 nucleotides) under uncultured bacterium. Its description in RNAcentral is "SSU rRNA". It matches the Rfam family "Bacterial small subunit ribosomal RNA", at positions 26 to 523 of the family's 1533-position model. The record is from RNAcentral.